This 487-nucleotide small RNA is filed under the name Pongo abelii (Sumatran orangutan). RNAcentral's name for it is "processed transcript". Lineage: Eukaryota; Metazoa; Chordata; Mammalia; Primates; Hominidae. The record is from RNAcentral.
CUGUAUUUUUCUCCGCUAAGACCGGCUACCCUACUUUCAUUUUCCUUUCACUCUUCUUGGUUCUUUUGGGCCUUUUAGGAAUUUGGGAUGAUUCAGGCUCUGACAGGCAUGUGCAUACAUAGAGAUGUGAAGCCAGAAAAUAUCCUCAUCACAAAACAUUCCGUGAUUAAGCUUUGUGACUUUGGAUUUGCUCGGCUUUUGACUGGACCGAGUGACUACUAUACAGACUACGUGGCUACCAGGUGGUACCGCUCCCCUGAGCUGUUGGUGGGGGACACGCAGUACGGCCCCCCGGUGGAUGUUUGGGCAAUUGGCUGUGUCUUUGCUGAGCUGCUGUCAGGAGUGCCUCUGUGGCCAGGAAAAUCGGAUGUGGAUCAGCUGUAUCUGAUUAGGAAGACCUUGGGGGAUCUCAUUCCUAGGCACCAGCAAAUGUUUAGCACGAAUCAGUACUUCAGUGGAGUGAAAAUUCCAGACCCUGAAGAUAUGG